AUUAGAGUUUGAUCCUGGCUCAGGACGAACGCUGGCGGCGUGCUUAACACAUGCAAGUCGAACGGUGACGAGCAGCUUGCUGCUCUGAUCAGUGGCGAACGGGUGAGUAACACGUGAGCAACCUACCCUUGACUCCGGGAUAACAGCUGGAAACAGCUGCUAAUACCGGAUACGACCUCGACCGACAUCUGUUGAGGUGGAAAGUUCUGGCGGUCAAGGAUGGGCUCGCGGCCUAUCAGCUAGUUGGUGAGGUAACGGCUCACCAAGGCUUCGACGGGUAGCCGGCCUGAGAGGGCGACCGGCCACACUGGGACUGAGAUACGGCCCAGACUCCUACGGGAGGCAGCAGUGGGGAAUAUUGCACAAUGGGCGAAAGCCUGAUGCAGCAACGCCGCGUGCGGGAUGACGGCCUUCGGGUUGUAAACCGCUUUCAGCUCCGACGAAGCGCAAGUGACGGUAGGAGCAGAAGAAGGACCGGCCAACUACGUGCCAGCAGCCGCGGUGAUACGUAGGGUCCGAGCGUUGUCCGGAAUUAUUGGGCGUAAAGGGCUUGUAGGCGGUUUGUCGCGUCGGAAGUGAAAACUCAGGGCUUAACCCUGAGCCUGCUUCCGAUACGGGCAAACUAGAGGAAUGCAGGGGAGAAUGGAAUUCCUGGUGGAGCGGUGGAAUACGCAGAUAUCAGGAGGAACACCAGUGCGAAGGCGGUUCUCUGGGCAUUUCCUGACGCUGAGAAGCGAAAGCGUGGGGAGCAAACAGGCUUAGAUACCCUGGUAGUCCACGCCGUAAACGGUGGGCACUAGGUGUGGGACUCAUUCCACGAGUUCCGUGCCGUAGCUAACGCAUUAAGUGCCCCGCCUGGGGAGUACGGCCGCAAGGCUAAAACUCAAAG
This 889-nucleotide ribosomal RNA is filed under the name uncultured bacterium. Its description in RNAcentral is "bacterial SSU rRNA". It matches the Rfam family "Bacterial small subunit ribosomal RNA", at positions 1 to 906 of the family's 1533-position model. The record is from RNAcentral.